RNAcentral lists this transfer RNA (70 nucleotides) under Marmota monax (woodchuck). RNAcentral describes it as "tRNA.Undet". Lineage: Eukaryota; Metazoa; Chordata; Mammalia; Rodentia; Sciuridae. The record is from RNAcentral.
GGGGUUGUAGCUCUGUGGUAGAGCACUUGCCUACAUGCAUGAGGUACUGGGUUCAAUCCUCAGUACCACA